CCGACGGUGAGGGACGAAAGCUGGGGCACGAACCGGAUUAGAUACCCGGGUAGUCCCAGCCGUAAACGAUGCUCGCUAGGUGUCUGGGAUGGUGCGACCGUUUCAGGUGCCGCAGGGAAGCCGUGAAGCGAGCCACCUGGGAAGUACGGCCGCAAGGCUGAAACUUAAAGGAAUUGGCGGGGGAGCACUACAACGGGUGGAGCCUGCGGUUUAAUUGGACUCAACGCCGGAAAACUCACCUGGGGCG
This 247-nucleotide ribosomal RNA is filed under the name uncultured archaeon. RNAcentral describes it as "partial 16S ribosomal RNA". It matches the Rfam family "Archaeal small subunit ribosomal RNA", at positions 691 to 938 of the family's 1478-position model. The record is from RNAcentral.